CUGGCUCAGAUUGAACGCUGGCGGCAGGCCUAACACAUGCAAGUCGAGCGGUAGAGAGAAGCUUGCUUCUCUUGAGAGCGGCGGACGGGUGAGUAAUGCCUAGGAAUCUGCCUGGUAGUGGGGGAUAACGUUCGGAAACGGACGCUAAUACCGCAUACGUCCUACGGGAGAAAGCAGGGGACCUUCGGGCCUUGCGCUAUCAGAUGAGCCUAGGUCGGAUUAGCUAGUUGGUGAGGUAAUGGCUCACCAAGGCGACGAUCCGUAACUGGUCUGAGAGGAUGAUCAGUCACACUGGAACUGAGACACGGUCCAGACUCCUACGGGAGGCAGCAGUGGGGAAUAUUGGACAAUGGGCGAAAGCCUGAUCCAGCCAUGCCGCGUGUGUGAAGAAGGUCUUCGGAUUGUAAAGCACUUUAAGUUGGGAGGAAGGGUUGUAGAUUAAUACUCUGC
This 450-nucleotide ribosomal RNA is filed under the name Pseudomonas sp. R-37154. RNAcentral's name for it is "bacterial SSU rRNA". It matches the Rfam family "Bacterial small subunit ribosomal RNA", at positions 19 to 472 of the family's 1533-position model. Lineage: Bacteria; Pseudomonadati; Pseudomonadota; Gammaproteobacteria; Pseudomonadales; Pseudomonadaceae. The record is from RNAcentral.